Molecule: ribosomal RNA, 490 nt
Filed under: uncultured bacterium
Lineage: Bacteria
Description: partial 16S ribosomal RNA
Rfam family: Bacterial small subunit ribosomal RNA
Source: RNAcentral
AUUGAACGCUGGCGGCAGGCCUAACACAUGCAAGUCGAACGGUAACAGGAAGAAGCUUGCUUCUUUGCUGACGAGUGGCGGACGGGUGAGUAAUGUCUGGGAAACUGCCUGAUGGAGGGGGAUAACUACUGGAAACGGUAGCUACUACCGCAUAACGUCGCAAGACCAAAGAGGUGGACCUUCGGGCCUCUUGCCUUCGGCUGGGCCCAGAUGGGAUUAGCUAGUAGGUGGGGUAACGGCUCACCUAGGCGACGAUCCGUAACUGGUCUGAGAGGAUGACCAGCCACACUGGAACUGAGACACGGUCCAGACUCCUACGGGAGGCAGCAGUGGGGAAUAUUGCACAAUGGGCGCAAGCCUGAUGCAGCCAUGCCGCGUGUAUGAAGAAGGCCUUCGGGUUGUAAAGUACUUUAAGCGGGGAGGAAGGGAGGAAAGUUAAUACCUUGGCUCAUUGACGUUACCCGCAGAAGAAGCACCGGCUAACUCCGUG